This 1485-nucleotide ribosomal RNA is filed under the name Lactiplantibacillus plantarum. RNAcentral's name for it is "bacterial SSU rRNA". It matches the Rfam family "Bacterial small subunit ribosomal RNA". Lineage: Bacteria; Bacillati; Bacillota; Bacilli; Lactobacillales; Lactobacillaceae. The record is from RNAcentral.
CGAACGAACUCUGGUAUUGAUUGGUGCUUGCAUCAUGAUUUACAUUUGAGUGAGUGGCGAACUGGUGAGUAACACGUGGGAAACCUGCCCAGAAGCGGGGGAUAACACCUGGAAACAGAUGCUAAUACCGCAUAACAACUUGGACCGCAUGGUCCGAGUUUGAAAGAUGGCUUCGGCUAUCACUUUUGGAUGGUCCCGCGGCGUAUUAGCUAGAUGGUGGGGUAACGGCUCACCAUGGCAAUGAUACGUAGCCGACCUGAGAGGGUAAUCGGCCACAUUGGGACUGAGACACGGCCCAAACUCCUACGGGAGGCAGCAGUAGGGAAUCUUCCACAAUGGACGAAAGUCUGAUGGAGCAACGCCGCGUGAGUGAAGAAGGGUUUCGGCUCGUAAAACUCUGUUGUUAAAGAAGAACAUAUCUGAGAGUAACUGUUCAGGUAUUGACGGUAUUUAACCAGAAAGCCACGGCUAACUACGUGCCAGCAGCCGCGGUAAUACGUAGGUGGCAAGCGUUGUCCGGAUUUAUUGGGCGUAAAGCGAGCGCAGGCGGUUUUUUAAGUCUGAUGCGAAAUCCUUGUUACGACUUCCCCUAAUCAUCUGUCCCACCUUAGGCGGCUGGUUCCUAAAAGGUUACCCCACCGACUUUGGGUGUUACAAACUCUCAUGGUGUGACGGGCGGUGUGUACAAGGCCCGGGAACGUAUUCACCGCGGCAUGCUGAUCCGCGAUUACUAGCGAUUCCGACUUCAUGUAGGCGAGUUGCAGCCUACAAUCCGAACUGAAAUGGCUUUAAGAGAUUACUUACUCUCGCAGUUCCAAGUGUUGGAGGGUUUCCGCCCUUCAGUGUUGCAGCUAACGCAUUAAGCAUUCCGCCUGGGGAGUACGGCCGCAAGGCUGAAACUCAAAGGAAUUGACGGGGGCCCGCACAAGCGGUGGAGCAUGUGGUUUAAUUCGAAGCUACGCGAAGAACCUUACCAGGUCUUGACAUACUAUGCAAAUCUAAGAGAUUAGACGUUCCCUUCGGGGACAUGGAUACAGGUGGUGCAUGGUUGUCGUCAGCUCGUGUCGUGAGAUGUUGGGUUAAGUCCCGCAACGAGCGCAACCCUUAUUAUCAGUUGCCAGCAUUAAGUUGGGCACUCUGGUGAGACUGCCGGUGACAAACCGGAGGAAGGUGGGGAUGACGUCAAAUCAUCAUGCCCCUUAUGACCUGGGCUACACACGUGCUACAAUGGAUGGUACAACGAGUUGCGAACUCGCGAGAGUAAGCUAAUCUCUUAAAGCCAUUCUCAGUUCGGAUUGUAGGCUGCAACUCGCCUACAUGAAGUCGGAAUCGCUAGUAAUCGCGGAUCAGCAUGCCGCGGUGAAUACGUUCCCGGGCCUUGUACACACCGCCCGUCACACCAUGAGAGUUUGUAACACCCAAAGUCGGUGGGGUAACCUUUUAGGAACCAGCCGCCUAAGGUGGGACAGAUGAUUAGGGUGAAGU